GGCUCCGUGGCGCAAUGGAUAGCGAAUUGGACUUCUAGCCAAGCAUUGGAGAGGUGAUUCAAAGGUUGUGGGUUCGAGUCCCACCGGAAUUA
RNAcentral lists this transfer RNA (92 nucleotides) under Megalops atlanticus (tarpon). It matches the Rfam family "tRNA". Rfam says of the family: Transfer RNA (tRNA) molecules are approximately 80 nucleotides in length. Their secondary structure includes four short double-helical elements and three loops (D, anti-codon, and T loops). Further hydrogen bonds mediate the characteristic L-shaped molecular structure. tRNAs have two regions of fundamental functional importance: the anti-codon, which is responsible for specific mRNA codon recognition, and the 3' end, to which the tRNAs corresponding amino acid is attached (by aminoacyl-tRNA synthetases). tRNAs cope with the degeneracy of the genetic code in two manners: having more than one tRNA (with a specific anti-codon) for a particular amino acid; and 'wobble' base-pairing, i.e. permitting non-standard base-pairing at the 3rd anti-codon position. The record is from Rfam by way of RNAcentral. Lineage: Eukaryota; Metazoa; Chordata; Actinopteri; Elopiformes; Megalopidae.